AUUAACGCUGGCGGUGUGUCUAAUACAUGCAAGUCGUGCGAUCCGUAGCAAUACGGAUAGCGGCGGACGGGUGAGUAACACGUUGGAACCUGCCCUAAACUCAGGGAUAACUCCGAGAAAUCGGAGCUAAUACCGGAUAGUCCCUAACGGGUAAAGCUACGGCGGUUUAGGAGGGGCCUGCGGCCUAUCAGCUAGUUGGUGAGGUAAUGGCUCACCAAGGCUAUGACGGGUAGCUGGUCUGAGAGGAUGAUCAGCCACAAUGGGACUGAGAUACGGCCCAUACUCCUACGGGAGGCAGCAGUAGGGAAUCUUUCGCAAUGGGCGAAAGCCUGACGAAGCAACACCGCGUGAUCGAUGAAGUUCUUUUGAAUGUAAAGAUCUUUUCUGGGGGAAGAAUUAUGACGGUACCCUAGGAAUAAGCACCGGCAAACUCCGU
Molecule: ribosomal RNA, 436 nt
Filed under: uncultured bacterium
Lineage: Bacteria
Description: bacterial SSU rRNA
Rfam family: Bacterial small subunit ribosomal RNA
Source: RNAcentral